UGUCCUCAGUCUGUGGAAUUGCAGUAUUACAGAGAAACAGUGUCUCAUCCUGACUUCAGCUCUGAAAUCAGAACCAUCACACCUGAGAGAAAUGGACCUCAGUGGGAAUAAACUGAAAAAACACAGGAUGGAUCACUUAUGUGACGUACUGAAGGAUUCACACUGUAAACUGGAGAGAUUGAGGUUAAGCUGCUGUUAUAUGACAGAUGAAGGAUGUUCUGCACUGACUUCAGCUCUGAAAUCAAACCCUUCACACCUGAGAGAACUGAACCUUAGUGGGAAUGAACUAGGAGACUCUGGAGUGAAAAGCCUCGGUGAUCUACUGAUGAAACCCACAAUUCAAGCUGGAGAAACUACAUUUGAGUGAAUGCGGUAUUACAUACAAACAGCGUCUCAUCCUGACUUCAGCUAUGAAAUCAAACCCAUCACACCUGAGAGAGCUGGACCUCAGUGAGAAUCAAAUAAAAAACACAGGAAUGAGUCAAUUAUGUGACGUACUGAAGGAUCCACACUGUAAACUGGAGAGAUUGAGUCUAAAUUUCUGUGGCAUUACAGACCUUUCUGCUUUAACUCAGUCUUUGACAAACACAAAAGCACUGCAGUUUUUAAAAGAGCUUGAUCUGA
Molecule: long non-coding RNA, 624 nt
Organism: Cyprinus carpio (common carp)
Lineage: Eukaryota; Metazoa; Chordata; Actinopteri; Cypriniformes; Cyprinidae
Exons: 4
Source: RefSeq, a predicted model, not a curated record